Molecule: ribosomal RNA, 497 nt
Filed under: uncultured bacterium
Lineage: Bacteria
Description: partial 16S ribosomal RNA
Rfam family: Bacterial small subunit ribosomal RNA
Source: RNAcentral
GAUGAACGCUGGCGGCGUGCCUAAUACAUGCAAGUCGAGCGAACGGGCGAGAAGCUUGCUUCUCUGAUGUUAGCGGCGGACGGGUGAGUAACACGUGGAUAACCUACCUAUAAGACUGGGAUAACUUCGGGAAACCGGAGCUAAUACCGGAUGAUAUUUUGAACCGCAUGGUUCAAAAGUGAAAGACGGUCUUGCUGUCACUUAUAGAUGGAUCCGCGCUGCAUUAGCUAGUUGGUAAGGUAACGGCUUACCAAGGCAACGAUGCAUAGCCGACCUGAGAGGGUGAUCGGCCACACUGGAACUGAGACACGGUCCAGACUCCUACGGGAGGCAGCAGUAGGGAAUCUUCCGCAAUGGGCGAAAGCCUGACGGAGCAACGCCGCGUGAGUGAUGAAGGUCUUCGGAUCGUAAAACUCUGUUAUUAGGGAAGAACAUAUGUGUAAGUAGCUGUGCACAUCUUGACGGUACCUAAUCAGAAAGCCACGGCUAACUACGUG